RNAcentral lists this ribosomal RNA (484 nucleotides) under uncultured bacterium. RNAcentral's name for it is "partial 16S ribosomal RNA". It matches the Rfam family "Bacterial small subunit ribosomal RNA", at positions 30 to 507 of the family's 1533-position model. The record is from RNAcentral.
AUUGAACGCUGGCGGCAGGCCUAACACAUGCAAGUCGAGCGGAUGAAGGGAGCUUGCUCCUGGAUUCAGCGGCGGACGGGUGAGUAAUGCCUAAGAAUCUGCCUGGUAGUGGGGGAUAACGUCCGGAAACGGGCGCUAAUACCGCAUACGUCCUGAUGGAGAAAGUGGGUGAGCUUCGGACCUCACGCUAUCAGAUGAGCCUAGGUCGGAUUAGCUAGUUGGUGGGGUAAAGGCCUACCAAGGCGACGAUCCGUAACUGGUCUGAGAGGAUGAUCAGUCACACUGGAACUGAGACACGGUCCAGGCUCCUACGGGAGGCAGCAGUGGGGAAUAUUGGACAAAGGGCGAAAGCCUGAUCCAGCCAUGCCGCGUGUGUGAAGAAGGUCUUCGGAUUGUAAAGCACUUUAAGUUGGGAGGAAGGGCAGUAAGUUAAUACAUUGCUGUUUUGACGUUACCAACAGAAUAAGCACCGGCUAACUUCGUG